Oncorhynchus kisutch (coho salmon) is the source of this 2285-nucleotide RNA transcript. It is a transcript of the gene named UDP-glucuronosyltransferase 2C1 pseudogene, with no coding region annotated. The transcript is spliced from 2 exons. The record is from RefSeq and is a predicted model, not a curated record. NCBI's taxonomy places the organism in Eukaryota, Metazoa, Chordata, Actinopteri, Salmoniformes, Salmonidae.
UCUGGGAUCUCGUGUAUUAACUAGCGACGAGGAAGAGGACAAGGGACAGUCUUUGUGUUACAGGUCACACUCCAAUGACGUAAUGGGCAUGUGUGGUGGAACAGCGGUGGUCCUUCGACGAAUACUCUGCCUCAUCUUAAUUCGGGGUUGCUGCAGUAACGGCAGUGGGGGAGGUAGAAUCCUGGUCUUCCCAGAGGAUGGCAGCCACUGGCUCAACAUGGAGGUUAUCCUCCGAGAGCUCCACUCCAGAGGUCACAACCUCACCGUGCUGCGCUCUGCCAAGAGCUGGUACAUUCCCCAGAAUUCCCCUGUCUACACCUCUAUCACCGUGAACCCUGCUCCUCCUCCGGCGGGUGAGGACCUGGGUCCUGACUUCUACACCAUCCUGAUGCAGCGCUCACUGAAACUCCGCAGGAUGUUACCGGUCCUCCGUUUCCUGGAGCAGCAGAAGGACACGGCGGCCAUGUUGAUGAUGUUUCACAGCGAGGCACUCUGCAUGAUCUCCACCAUCUUGGAUGACUCCGUCCUCGUCGCCAAACUGAGGGUGUCCAGAUUCGACCUGAUGCUCACCGACCCUGCCUUCCCUGCUGGAGUGCUCCUGGCCCAAUACCUAGGCAUGCCCAUGGUUUAUAAUGUCCGCUGGCUCAACGCAGGCGAGGCCCACAUGACUGUUGCCCCCACGCUGCCCUCCUAUGUUCCGAUGUACAACUCCCUGUUCAGCGAUAAUAUGGACCUCCUGCAGAGGACAGAGAACUUCCUGCGUUACCUGGUCAUCCUCCUCCAGGAGCACCUGGUCAUCCUGCCACUCUACGCCAACCUGCUCCAACGUCACUUCCCCCCUGGUGCUGACCUGCUCUCCAUGCAGCGCUCAGCAGACGUGUGGCUGAUGCGGGUCGACUUUGUUUUUGAGUUCCCGCGGCCUACCAUGCCCAAUGUGGUCUAUGUGGGGGGCUUCCAGUGCCGUCCAGCUGAGCCACUUCCUGCUGACCUGGAGGCCUUCAUGCAGAGCUCUGGAAAGCACGGGGUGGUGGUCAUGUCUCUGGGAACGCUGGUGUCUGCCCUGCCUAAGGAGGUGACCGAAGCAGUGGCCCAAGCCUUUGCCAAGCUGCCCCACAAGGUGGUGUGGAGGUUCCUGGGAGAAAGACCAAUUUCCCUGGGGAACAACACCCUGCUACUGGACUGGCUCCCCCAGAACGACCUCCUGGGCCACCCCAAAACCCGCGCCUUCGUGGCUCACGGAGGCACCAACGGCCUGUAUGAGGCCAUCUACCACGGGGUCCCUGUGCUGGGCCUGCCGCUCCUCUUCGACCAGUUUGACAAUGUCCUGCGGCUGCGGGUGCGCGGGGUGGCACGGGUGCUGGAGGCCGCCACUCUCACCACAGAGGACUUCCUGGAGGCCCUAAGGGAUGUGCUGGAGAAUAAGUCCUACCGCCACAACAUGCAGAAGCUCUCUGGCCUGCACCGCGACACGCCCCUGUCCCCGCUUGCCAGUGCCACCUUCUGGAUUGAGUACGUGAUGAGGAACGGUGGAGCGUCCCACCUGCGCACCGAAGCCUACAGCCUGCCCUGGUACUCCUACCACAGCCUGGACGUGGCGGCGCUGCUCUUGGCCCUCAGCGGGGCCUCUCUCUGGGCCUCAGGCUAUGUCUGCAGCAGGCUGUGCUGCAGGAGCUCCAGGAGGAAGACCAAGCUGGAAUGAGACAUGAAUCUAAAGAUGGCCCAAGAUGGGUAUUUUAGAUGUUGUACGUAUUUGACCAUCAAUUGGCACUUUUCUGUCAAAGAUUUUAAAAAUUGCUCAACAGAAUCUUGAGAAAAAUUUGACAAAUUCAAAAAAUAACUCCAAAGCCCACCAUAAAUACAUAAUAACAUUAAAGGGAAGUACAUGACUCAAUAAAAACUGAUGAAAAGUUAUUUAUAUUCAGACUGGCUUUAGGGAAUGUGGUGCCAUGGAACUGUCAGAUUACAUAUUGGAUUUCAGUCUGGUGAGGGAAAGUACAAGAUGACAAAGAUAACAAUCUCCUCUCUAUGAUAUCAUGUGUUAAAAAUACAGCCUAGCCAACAUUGUCUCACACUCCCAUUCUCCUCAAACAAUUUGAAUUGUGUAGUCGUAGCUUUUCCCUGUGCCUGAGCUACAAAGUAAUCUUGGUGUAAAUUAUGACCAUACUGUAUACCACAGUCGUACACAGUCAACAAAUAUGUUUGUUCAAAGGAAAAAUAUGUCACACUCAUACUUUUCCACCUAAAAGCCCCAGUAAGAAGUCUCAAUAAAGAUGUAAUUACUGUCA